AGUGAACGCUGGCGGUAGGCCUAACACAUGCAAGUCGAACGGCAGCACAGUAAGAGCUUGCUCUUACGGGUGGCGAGUGGCGGACGGGUGAGGAAUACAUCGGAAUCUACUUUUUCGUGGGGGAUAACGUAGGGAAACUUACGCUAAUACCUCAUACUACCUACGGGUUAAAGCAGGGGAUCUUCGGACCUUGCGCGAUUGAAUGAGCCGAUGUCGGAUUAGCUAGUUGGCGGGGUAAAGGCCCACCAAGGCGACGAUCCGUAGCUGGUCUGAGAGGAUGAUCAGCCACACUGGAACUGAGACACGGUCCAGACUCCUACGGGAGGCAGCAGUGGGGAAUAUUGGGCAAUGGGCGCAAGCCUGAUCCAGCCAUACCGCGUGGGUGAAGAAGGCCUUCGGGUUGUAAAGCCCUUUUGUUGGGAAAGAAAAGCAGCAGGUUAAUACCCCGAUGUUCUGACGGUACCCAAAGAAUAAGCACCGGCUAACUUCGUG
This 492-nucleotide ribosomal RNA is filed under the name uncultured bacterium. RNAcentral's name for it is "partial 16S ribosomal RNA". It matches the Rfam family "Bacterial small subunit ribosomal RNA", at positions 29 to 507 of the family's 1533-position model. The record is from RNAcentral.